Long non-coding RNA from Fukomys damarensis (Damara mole-rat), 651 nucleotides. RefSeq lists it as uncharacterized. The transcript is spliced from 3 exons. Lineage: Eukaryota; Metazoa; Chordata; Mammalia; Rodentia; Bathyergidae. The record is from RefSeq and is a predicted model, not a curated record.
GGCAGGAGAGGAAAGCCAGGCAGACUGGAGGGAAGUGGAUGGGACCAGCCAACUACAAAGUCUCAGGACACAGGCCUAGAACAGUUCCCAAAGCCCUGCAGUCAGAACCAAUCAGAGAGUGCCACCUUGAAUUGCAUGGGGCUCUGGUAGGACAGCCCAGCCCCAAGGCCCGCCUCAGGAAAGAUGGCCGCCAUGAGGCCUGGGCUGCCGUCCACUUUUCCUGUGGCUUGAAGAGAGGAUCUCUUUUCUUACCUUUGUUCCUUGUUUAGCACAGAAAGAGCCUGGAAACCACCUCUGAAAGAAGACUCCUUCCCAGUAAGGGCUCUGCUGCGAAGGUUUCAGUGAGGUGGAGGAACACGAGCACAGCGGCGGGCGACCAAGCAGCACAAGGCACGAACCGCAGGAAGGGAAGCAGCGCAGGAGGACGCUGUUUACGUACCCAGUGGCCGCGCGACGCGGCGUGCUCCGUGGGCUCCGCUUGCUUCUGUGGCCGACGGCAGCCUCUGUUUAAAGGAGAUAUUUAGAGCUGGGGAUGCAGCUCAGUGGUGCUGCCACCUGCCUCACAAGCACAAGGUCCUGUGUUCAAUCCCCAGUACAAAAAACAACAAAAAAAAGUUACUGCUUUCCAUAAAGGAAGUAUUUAUAGCUUUG